RNAcentral lists this ribosomal RNA (556 nucleotides) under Phascolosoma esculenta. RNAcentral describes it as "partial 16S ribosomal RNA". It matches the Rfam family "Bacterial large subunit ribosomal RNA", at positions 1840 to 2620 of the family's 2925-position model. Lineage: Eukaryota; Metazoa; Annelida; Sipuncula; Phascolosomatiformes; Phascolosomatidae. The record is from RNAcentral.
UCGAUAUUGGAGGCAUUGCCUGCCCAGUGACAACUGUUUAACGGCCGCGGUAUCCUGACCGUGCAAAGGUAGCAUAAUCAUUUGUUCUCUAAAUAAGGACUUGUAUGAAUGGCCGCACGAGGGUUUUACUGUCUCUUACUUCCAAUCAGUGAAAUUGACCUUCCCGUGAAGAGGCGGGAAUGCACAAAUAAGACGAGAAGACCCUAUGGAGCUUUAACUAACCAACCCAAAGAGAAUAGAUUUAACCAUUAAGGAAUAACAACAAUCUCCAUGAGUUGGUAGUUUCGGUUGGGGUGACCUCGGAGAAUAAAAAAUCCUCCGAGCGAUUUUAAAGACUAGACCCACAAGUCAAAUCACUCUAUCGCUCAUUGAUCCAAAAACUUGAUCAACGGAACAAGUUACCCUAGGGAUAACAGCGCAAUCCUAUUCAAGAGUCCAUAUCGACAAUAGGGUUUACGACCUCGAUGUUGGAUCAGGACAUCCUGAUGGUGCAACCGCUAUCAAAGGUUCGUUUGUUCAACGAUUAAAGUCCUACGUGAUCUGAGUUCAGACCGGA